Long non-coding RNA from Pan troglodytes (chimpanzee), 1994 nucleotides. RefSeq lists it as uncharacterized. The record is from RefSeq and is a predicted model, not a curated record. The transcript is spliced from 2 exons. NCBI's taxonomy places the organism in Eukaryota, Metazoa, Chordata, Mammalia, Primates, Hominidae.
UGUAAGAACCCCAGAUCUUAACUUCUUAAUCCUUCGUUCUUCAGAAUUAAAUUAGCUUUAAUUUUAAGAGCACUUUAUAAUAGAUGAUGGCCCAGCCAACUCAAGGCAAUUAAAUUACAUCAUUCUUUUUGAGAUGUGUCCUCAUUGUUUACCAAGGGUGAAAGCUAUGAGAGGAAGAUCUUGAGAGAGAACCAGGGUGGGAACUCAGUUGACAGAGGGUAAAGAUGAUGAGUCUGGGGACGGAAACAAGAUGGCAUCAACAGGACCAUACAAGAAGAAGUGGAAGUUGAAGAGAAUGAAGGAAAGAUGAAGUUCAAUAAGGCAGAUAGAGGUGGGAAGAGAGAAGUGGCAGGUGUUAAGAAUAACAUGUAAUGCUUUGACCUGAAAUGUGACAUCACAAUGGGGUCCUGGAAGGGGGAUUGUGGGGGAAAACGAGGGUCAUGUCAAAGAUGGUGGAGUCCUGACAGACCUUUCAUGAGAGUUUCUGUGGUGCUCAGUAAUGGGUUAAAUUGUGUCCUCCCAAAAUUCGUAUGUUGAGGGCUGGGCAUGGUGGCUCACACCUGUAAUCCCAGCACUCUGGGAGGCCGAGGUGGGCGGAUCACUUGAGGUCAGGAGUUCGAGACUAGCCUGGCCAACAUGGCGAAACCCCAUCUCUACUAAAAAUACAAAAAUUAGCUGGGCAUGGUGAUGGGUGCCUGUAGUCCCAGCUACUUGGGAGGCUGAGGUGGGAGAAUCACUUGAACCUGGGAGGCGGAGGUUGCAGUGAGCUGAGAUCAUGCCACUGCACUCCUGCUUGGGUGACAGAGCGAAACUCUGUCUCAAAAAAUCAUAUGUUGAAUCCUAAUCCCUAGCACCUCAAAAUGUGACUGUAUUUGGAGUUAAGGCUUUUAAAGAGGUAAAUUCAUAUGGGAGUGCCUAAUCCAAUAUGACCAGAGUCUUUACAAGAAGAGGAGAUUAGGACCCAGGCACACACAGAGGGAAGACUGCAUGAAGACACAAGGAGAAGAUGGCAUCUUUUAAGACACCUGGCCUGUGGAUUACGGCAACCUGAAAAAAUGAAUAUAGAUUCUGAAGAGCAGGAGACAGAGACAGGAAGACAGCAGCCACAAAGGCUCAGGGAGGUCCACAUUUCAGGUAGGGAGGCUUCCCAGGUGGGGUCCUUAGGGGCACAAGCACGUGGUGAGCACUCUGUCCGCAUUUGUUGAUGUAAAUGCUGGUAAUAGCAGAAAUACAUUUGGGAGCAAGCAACUCACUUUUGGUGAACACAGGGUGGUCUCUGGCCUGAGCACAGAGGGUGAUGUGGGCACAUGUCAGAAGGUUUUGCAGAAAGAGUCAGGCGUGUGGGGAUGUGGUGCUACUUUCAGCCUCAAAUGCUUCCCUCCCUGUGACCAGAAGGUCCCACAGAAAAAUGAGCUGGGCACAGGGACAAAGAGGAUGUGCUGAGCUGUAGAAAAGACAGAGUAAAGAGAUUCAUGAAAAUGUCAGGUCUACAGCCCACAGCCUGGGUACCAGAAGCCAGAGCUCAUGUGUGCACGUGUGUGCAUACAUUUGUGUGUGUGUGUGUGUGUGUGUGUGUUACCUGCUGCUCUGCACUGGGCCAUGCUAACACCUAGCUUGGGCCAAGCACAAGGACCCUGUGAAGAGGCUCACAAAUGACUCCUGACUCCUGAGGAUUUAUGUACCAUCUGCUGCUGGACUUACUGCAGUCCCUCCAAGCACACCCUCAAGGACUACUGAGCUGGGGUGCCAUCAGUCUUGGGAAAAGAGAGAGAGAAUUCCCUAAAGCAAUGUUUGGCAAACUUGACUACUAUUCUUUUCAAAGGCCAAGAAACAUUCCUAUGGAGCCUGCCUUGACUUCAGUUAUUGCUGUGGAAAAAAAGCAGCACAAACACAAGCAGCUAAGCUUAUAGUUGCUUUACAAGUGCAAAACAAAAACCAAAUGUGUAAAUUAAACACAAUUGCAAACAGCAAUAAAACUCAAACUAACAACAUUA